Molecule: long non-coding RNA, 1506 nt
Organism: Asparagus officinalis (garden asparagus)
Lineage: Eukaryota; Viridiplantae; Streptophyta; Magnoliopsida; Asparagales; Asparagaceae
Exons: 4
Source: RefSeq, a predicted model, not a curated record
CCUUUUAAUAAUAAAACGAAAAAAAAAAAGCAGAGAAAAACCUCAAGACUUUUGACAGUUUCACAAAACUGAACUUUCCUUUUACUGCGAUUAUUAUUGCUUUUCCCGCCUUCGUGCUCCCUCGCUUCGACGCUGAGGAAAGGAUUUUCGAAACCCUAGAAGUUGAUUUGGAAUCCUGCCGCAAACAAGAAGAUGGCAGAAAGGAUGAUGCUGCUGCUGCUGCAAGGUGAUGUCUUUUAUGAGACAGUAUAGGAAUCACAAAUCUUCCUACUAAAGCAUCAAAAUUUAAUCUCUUUGGCAGGGGGAGUCAUUAUAAUUGUAGCAGCAAUGGAGAAAGAUGAAACUAUAUAGAUGGAAGCCUACAUAAAGAUGUUAAGUAUAUUGCACCUUUCAUACUUAUUGGCUUAAUGGAUAAAUCAAGUCACUUCUUGGAGAAAAGAAUAAUAAUAAGUAGCUUUACAUAUUAUUCUUGACAAUUAUAUUAUCAACUAUUUGUUAGGGCUUAUAGUUUUCACAUCAAACAUUAAAUUUAGAAUAUUGUCAUAAAUUAAGUGUCUUGAUUUACGGCAAUGCAUGUGUAUAUUAAAUUCUAACUACUUUUUUGGUGCCUCGAUUUCACUUUGGUUAGGCACCUCACUGCUUGUGUGUCUUAUUUCCAGUUAUGAGUUUGCAUUUAUGAAGAAUUCAAAAACUCCGAUAAAAUCAUAUAGCAUCAAAACAAGAGCAACUGAUCUAUGUUUACUUGGACGCUUAGUAAAAAGUGUUGUUGUCUUGGAUGCUCGCGCACGUUAAAAUAUUUGCACAUAAAUUCCUCGAUUGUACAGGCUCUUCUAGGGAAAAGGAUAUAAUAGGUAUUGUAGCACAAGACCAUGUAGGUUGACCACUUACACCCAUAAGUUUGGCAUUGACAUAAAUAUCAACUGCUGCUGUGUCUUACUUCAGCUCAUGAUUCUUCCAUGAUGCUGAUCCAUGAAUCCAUUGGGUUAUGACUUACAUCUGAACCGAGACAUGCUGUUGCUCUUUGAAAUCUUUGCUUGCUAUAUUCAUGAAUGAUGGGUAUCCAUUCUGAUAACAUGUGAAAUCAUCAUUUCAAUUUUAUUUUUAAAUUUAGUUUUACUAGAGACUGUGAAGUGUGGGACCUACCCACGUGAAGCAUCAUCAGGUGUGAACGCGGAAUGCAAACCGCGUGAAGGAAGCCCAUGAAGGCCCACCCGUACUCCAACUUAUAAAUGCACACGAAAAAUAUCGCCUAGGUUUUUGAGCAAGGGUGUUUUGGUUUUUCUCUCUUUUGCGGCUGGUGGAGAGAAGAAAAAGUGGGGGCGUGCGAUUGAGUGCGAAGGAGCAGGAGGUUUUGAUUUCUUCCUUUUUGCGGCUGCGGUACAGAACCGAGUGCAAGGCUUUGGAGACUUGAUUGCUUUUGUGCGGAUACAGGCAAAGUAAAAGAGCUUUUGUUUGUUGUUUUGAGAGAUAUAAUUGUGUGAGGGAUUUGAGAGCUUGUUUGAGGGU